RNAcentral lists this transfer RNA (47 nucleotides) under Oerskovia sp. Root918. It matches the Rfam family "tRNA", at positions 1 to 46 of the family's 71-position model. Rfam says of the family: Transfer RNA (tRNA) molecules are approximately 80 nucleotides in length. The record is from Rfam by way of RNAcentral. Lineage: Bacteria; Bacillati; Actinomycetota; Actinomycetes; Micrococcales; Cellulomonadaceae.
GCGGACGUGGCUCAGUGGUAGAGCAUCACCUUGCCAAGGUGAGGGUC